AACCACAUCAUACUCUUCUCCUUUGUGGAAACAAAUACGUUUGAGAGGCUGAGAACUUGAAGGUAAAUUAGCAGUAUGGUUACUGUUGCCAGUGUUGUCAGUCACCUUUGUACAAAA
Molecule: small nucleolar RNA, 117 nt
Filed under: Dromaius novaehollandiae (emu)
Lineage: Eukaryota; Metazoa; Chordata; Aves; Casuariiformes; Dromaiidae
Source: RNAcentral